AUUGAACGCUGGCGGCAGGCCUAACACAUGCAAGUCGAACGGUAACAGGGAUCAGCUUGCUGAUUCGCUGACGAGUGGCGGACGGGUGAGUAAUGUCUGUGAAACUGCCUGAUGGAGGGGGAUAACUACUGGAAACGGUAGCUAAUACCGCAUAACGUCGCAAGACCAAAGAGGGGGACCUUCGGGCCUCUUGCCAUCGGAUGUGCCCAGAUGGGAUUAGCUAGUAGGUGGGGUAACGGCUCACCUAGGCGACGAUCCCUAGCUGGUCUGAGAGGAUGACCAGCCACACUGGAACUGAGACACGGUCCAGACUCCUACGGGAGGCAGCAGUGGGGAAUAUUGCACAAUGGGCGCAAGCCUGAUGCAGCCAUGCCGCGUGUAUGAAGAAGGCCUUCGGGUUGUAAAGUACUUUCAGCGGGGAGGAAGGGAGUAAAGUUAAUACCUUUGCUCAUUGACGUUACCCGCAGAAGAAGCACCGACUAACUCCGUG
RNAcentral lists this ribosomal RNA (490 nucleotides) under uncultured bacterium. RNAcentral's name for it is "partial 16S ribosomal RNA". It matches the Rfam family "Bacterial small subunit ribosomal RNA", at positions 30 to 507 of the family's 1533-position model. The record is from RNAcentral.